UCCCCGAUAGUCUAGUGGUGAGGAUAUCUGCUUGUCAUUGAAGUUAAGAGAUUCGCAGGGGACCGAGGUUCAAUUCCCCGUCGAGGAG
RNAcentral lists this transfer RNA (88 nucleotides) under Colletotrichum phormii. RNAcentral describes it as "tRNA-Asp". It matches the Rfam family "tRNA". Rfam says of the family: Transfer RNA (tRNA) molecules are approximately 80 nucleotides in length. The record is from RNAcentral. Lineage: Eukaryota; Fungi; Ascomycota; Sordariomycetes; Glomerellales; Glomerellaceae.